RNAcentral lists this ribosomal RNA (510 nucleotides) under Cladosporium cladosporioides. Its description in RNAcentral is "eukaryotic LSU rRNA". The stretch from base 189 to 342 matches the Rfam family "5.8S ribosomal RNA". The record is from RNAcentral. Lineage: Eukaryota; Fungi; Ascomycota; Dothideomycetes; Cladosporiales; Cladosporiaceae.
UCCUUCCGUAGGUGAACCUGCGGAGGGAUCAUUACAAGUGACCCCGGCUACGGCCGGGAUGUUCAUAACCCUUUGUUGUCCGACUCUGUUGCCUCCGGGGCGACCCUGCCUUCGGGCGGGGGCUCCGGGUGGACACUUCAAACUCUUGCGUAACUUUGCAGUCUGAGUAAACUUAAUUAAUAAAUUAAAACUUUUAACAACGGAUCUCUUGGUUCUGGCAUCGAUGAAGAACGCAGCGAAAUGCGAUAAGUAAUGUGAAUUGCAGAAUUCAGUGAAUCAUCGAAUCUUUGAACGCACAUUGCGCCCCCUGGUAUUCCGGGGGGCAUGCCUGUUCGAGCGUCAUUUCACCACUCAAGCCUCGCUUGGUAUUGGGCAACGCGGUCCGCCGCGUGCCUCAAAUCGUCCGGCUGGGUCUUCUGUCCCCUAAGCGUUGUGGAAACUAUUCGCUAAAGGGUGUUCGGGAGGCUACGCCGUAAAACAACCCCAUUUCUAAGGUGACCUCGGAUCAGG